UGGUUCACUUGUUUUUCCAAAGACUUUUGAAGCUUCCAGUCAACUACUCCUCUUGCUCUGGUACUUGGUUUGAAUCCCAAUUUCAUAUUCUCAUACUGCUCAAAUUUCCACCAUCGUAUCCCUUGUCUUUUCUUGCUUUGGUUAUUGCUUUCGUUCACAAACUGAUCAACCCCCUCUUCCUCUUGCUCUUUGCUCUUUCGCUUGGUUGGAAUCUGAUUAGGUGCAAGCAAAACCCACUUUGGUUUGUCAAUCUUCCUCAAACCUAUACAUCUCUUUUCACAAAGGAUCGAUGGAGGUUGCGGGGAUCUUUCUGGGGCCGAUCAUUCAGGUGCUGCUUGAAAAGUUGGUCUCUCCGGCGGUGUCAAUUCAUUCUCGUCGGGAGGGAAUCCAUGGUGAGUUGAAGAAGUUGGAGAAAAUGUUGCCAUCUAUUCGUGCUGUUCUCGCUAACGCAGAGGACAAGCUAUUGCUAUUGGAAAAUGAUGCUGCUGUCAAAUUGUGGAUGGACGAUCUCACCGACUUGGCUUACGAUUUGGAUGAUUUGCUGGAUGACUUGGCUACUCAAACUUUGAUCAAGCCAGAAUCUCAUGCCAGCAGCAGUACUAGUAAGGUACCAAAACUCAACCCAGCUGUUAAGCUUUAUCGUAAUGUGAGGUCCAAGUUAACUACUUCCAAAAAUGAUAUGAGGUCCAAGAUAAAGGACAUCACUAAAAGAUUAGAAGAUAUUGAAAUACGAAAGAGUUUUCUGAAAUUGAAAGAGAAUGCUGAAGUGAUUGGGUUCAAGACAAUCAGAGAAGGUCGGGAAACGACUUCUUUGGUCUGCAGCUCUGAAGUUUGUGGCAGAGUACAAGAUCAAGAGGCUAUCAUUGCGGAGUUGUUGAAGGAUAAAGCUAGUGCUGACAAUUUCUGUGUCAUUCCCAUUGUGGGCAUGGGAGGCAUUGGUAAGACAACUCUCGCUCAGCUCGCCUAUAAUCAUGAACGUGUAGAGGGUCGUUUUGAUGUCAAGGCAUGGGUUUGUGUUUCUGAUGAUGUUCGUGCAUAUGUUCAUAGAGUGACAAAGGCUUUUUUUGAGCAAGUCUCUUUAAAAACUCACGACUCCAUGUCUUUGGAAACGCUUCAACAGAAUUUAAAGGAGAGCUUGUCAGGGAAGAAGUUUCUUCUUGUUUUGGAUGAUGUUUGGAACGACAAGUAUGAAGAUUGGGAGGUACUAAAACGUCCUUUUAAAGUUGGGGCACCUGGGAGCAAAAUUAUUGUCACAACUCGUAAUGGAGCAGUUGCAAAAACCAUGGCUCUGUCUCGGUCGGCUUGCCAUCUAAAAGGCCUGUCGGAAGAUGAAUGCCUAUCUUUACUUGCCCAUCAUGCACUCGGGAAAGAAAACUUUGAUGCAUAUCCAAGUCUAAAAGGAAUUGGUAUGGAAAUAGUGAAUAAAUGUAAAGGCUUGCCUUUGGCUGUAAAAACACUUGCAUGCCUCUUGCGGUCUAGACCCCCAAGUAAGUGGGUAGACAUAUUGAAUAGCAAGAUAUGGCAUUUACACGAACAAAGAGGUAUUCUUCCAGUCCUUCAAUUGAGCUAUCAUCAUCUCCCAUCUCAUUUGAAGCAAUGCUUUGCCUACUGUGCAACAUUUCCAAAAGACUAUGAAUUUGACAAAGCUGAGCUAGUUCUACUGUGGAUGGGGGUAGGUCUUUUGCAGCUAUCAAAAGAAAAGGAUCGAAUGGAGGAUUUUGGCAAUAAGUGUUUUGAUGAUCUAUUAUCAAGGUCAUUUUUUCAACAAUCUGGUGGUAGUAAAUCAUGCUUUGUGAUACCUGACCUUCUACAUGAUCUAGCUGUACAUAUAAGUGAGGAUAUAUGUUUUAUGCUAGAUAAGUUGGAGGGUAAUAAGCACUUUGAAAUUCCUAAACGAGCUCGACACUUGUCAUUUGUUCGUCAAGAAUUUGAAGUCUUUCAAAAGUUUAGGCCUAUUUCCAAAGUUCAGCAUUUGCGGACUCUAUUAGCAUUACCAAAUCAGGCAAAUGCUUUGCCGAGAUAUUUCUUAGCAAACAAGGUUUUGUUUGAUUUAUUGCCAAAUUUGCAGUGCAUAAGGGUGCUAUCGUUGCUUGGUUAUUCGAUAACUGAGUUAUCAGACUCAAUUGGCCAUUUGAAGCAUCUCAGGUAUCUUAAUUUAUCUAAGACUUCAAUCAGAUCGUUACCUGAAUCAGUGAGUACUCUCUACAAUUUACAAACAUUGUUAUUGCACAGUUGCAAAAAUCUUUGUAUGCUUCCUCUAAACAUUGAGAAUUUAAUUCAUCUGCGCCAUCUUGACAUUGUUGAUACUGUGCAACUACGAGAGAUGUCCUCAGGGAUUGGUGGACUGACGAAUUUGCAAACACUGUCAAAGUUUGUUGUGGGCAAAAACUGUGGGGCACGACUGAAAGAGUUGGAGAAUCUGAGGCUUUUACGAGAGAGUAUUUCUAUUACAGAGUUGCAAAAUGUAAUGGAUCUUCAAGAUGAAAAUGAGGCAAUUCUAAUGGAUAAGCAGUACCUCCAUGAAUUAGAGUUGGCAUGGUGUACAGAAUUCAAUGAUUUUCGAAAUGGAAAUCUUGAAUUGGAAGUACUUGGCAAGCUACAACCUCACGGAAAUUUGAGAAAGCUCAAAAUUAUGUUCUAUGGGGGCACAAAAUUUCCAAGUUGGAUAGGUGAUCCAUCAUUCUAUGAAAUGGUUAAACUGACUCUUGUAGGCUGUAAAAAAUGCAAAUGUUUACCACCAUUGGGGCAACUAUGCAUGCUCAAAGAGCUACGCAUUCAAGGCAUGCAUGAAGUGAAAAAGUCGGGGGAUGAUUUCUAUGGGGAUUGUUUUUCUUCGGCAGUUCCUUUUGCAUCACUGGAGAGUUUGAUAUUUGAAGACAUGCCAGCAUGGGAAGAAUGGUCUUCUUCUAUUUCUAGUGGUGCUGAAGAAGCUGUAAGACAAUUCCCUCGCCUCCGUGAGCUCAGUAUACGUUGUUGUCCCAAGUUGAUUAUGGUUUCACUUUCAAGACUUCCUUCUCUUCAAAAAUUAUACUUGAAAGAGUGUCAGGAGGUGGUGCUAAAAAGUAUAAUUGAUGUGACCUCACUAACCAGCUUGGAAGUUGAGAAUAUUACAGGCCUAUCACAGCUUGAGGAAGCAUUGGUGCAGUCCUUCGUAACACUUGAAAGUCUUCUCAUUAAGGAAUGUAACGAACUGGUGGCUUUGUGGCAAAAUGGGGUGCCUUGCAUUAACCUUCAGAAAUUGCAUAUAAGAGAUUGUGUGAAUCUUGAGAAGUUGCCAAAUGAGCUGAAAAAGCUCACGUCUCUCACGUCUUUGGUAAUGAAGGGGUGUUCAAAACUUGUGUGCUUUCCAAAGGCAGGUGUCCCGCCCACGCUUAGAACACUUGAGAUAGAGAAUUGCAAUGAGUUGAAGUCCCUGCCUGAAGGCAUCUCUGGUCUUGAAGUAUUGAAGAUUGAAAGAUGUUCAUCAUUGAGAUCCUGGCCCGCCCAAAAUAUGUUAUCCACCACUCUUAAGUUUCUUUUUAUUUCUGAUUGCAUGAAUUUAGAGUUGAUGAUGCUACAGCAGCAUCAGGAGGAGGAAGACUUUAAGAACAUUGAUAUUAUGUCAUCAGUUGCAGAUUUAACCAUCCGGAAUUGGCCAAACAUUGGAAUGUUUCUCGGCUGUGAAAAUAAUUUCACUAGUCUCUGUGAUCUGGAGAUACGUGAUUGCGAUGUUCUAGAGUCCUUAUCCAUCCCAGAAAGAGGCUUACCCAACCUCAGAUUUCUUACAGUCUGUAAUUGCGAGAAUCUGAGAUCCUUGCUUACGACCGACCAGGAUCUUCAAAACCUCAAUUUCCUUCGGAUAUAUAAAUGUCCUGGUCUCAAGUCCAUUUCAGAAAGAGGCUUGUCCACCCCCAACCUUAGAUGGCUUAGGAUCACCAGCUGCAAAAAUCUGAGUUCGUUUCCAUUGGAUCAGGUUCAAAGCCUAGCAUCACUUGAAUCAAUGCAUAUAUAUAGUUGUCCAUGUCUUGAGUCCUUUCCUCAAGAAAAUUUUCAGUUCCCUCCCAACCUUAUUGAACUUCGUAUUGGCGGUUGGUGGAAACUCAAGCCCUUGUCAGAGUGGGGUCUGCACCGACUCACCUCUCUUCAACAACUUGAAAUUGAUGGUGGAUAUCCAGAGAUGGUCUCCUUUCCUCAUGAGGAGAACUAUCUACUUCCAGCAACUCUAACCAAAUUACGAAUUCAAGAUCUGCCGAAUCUAAUAUCCAUAUCAUCCAAGGGCCUUCAAAAUCUCACCUCUCUUCAACAUCUAAGCAUCUUCGACUGCCCAAAGCUUCGAUCCUUACCAAAGGAAGGGCUGCCUUCAACGCUUGAAUGUUUACAAAUGACUGAUUGUCCACUUGAAAAACGGUGCUCGAAGGAAGACAGAGGUGACUACUGGCCCAAGAUUGCCCACAUCCCCUACGUCGGAGUACAUGGCAAUUUGCUUAACUACUAUAGUUGAGACUGAACCCAUGUUCUACAUUCUAUUUUCUUUUGUCAGGCAUGUCUAAAAGAAACUUGAAGCAAGUCAACCAGCAGCUUCCUCAAGCUCCAUUGCUGGCCCUUCCCCUAAUGAUUUGUACGCUAAAGUGAUGGGAGAGGAGAGAAGGGGUUGUGUUCGAAUGUGUGGUUUGGGAUUUACACCAAACGAUACUUGGGGACCUCCUCUCACUUAAGUGGAGCUGAUGAGGAGGACCAUCCAAUCCGAGGAAGAAGUGCGUGUUGUACUUGCAUGGUUGGAAGGUGUUGAACAGACCAUGUCAUAUUUAGGCCGAGUGCAUAAAAUUCAAAACUUACAGCAACAAAUGGCCAUACUUCUGCACCAAAAUGCAAAAUUCUGGUAGACAGUAAGCGAAAAUGCCGAAGGAUUGAAGUUGCCCUGAGGAAGAAACUGCAUGUCGUUAUACGGAGGUACCUCAUACUUCUAGUUCUCCAACAAAUUCUCUGCAAUUCCUGUUCUAGCCAUGGAACUUCGUCUAUGGUUCCUCGUACUUCCGAUGCUCCAACGAACUCCCAACAUUUUGGUUCUAGCCGUCGAACCUCAUCUGUGGGAGUCCUUGUCCUUCCAUCUUCGACUGCCUGAAAUCCAUAUCAUCAUCAUCCAAGGGCGGUGGCCGUGGCCUCCAAAAUUCUCACCUCUUCAACAUCUAGAGAUAAAUGCCCCGAGCUUCGAUCCUUACCAAAGGAAUGCCUACCUUCCACUCUUCGAAGUCUUCAACUCAGGAAAUGUCCACUUCUUGAACAACAUAUUUGCCCUCAUCCCCUUUGUCGCAAUAUAUGAAAAUGGUCCAUAAAUUUUACAUUUAUGCAGUGCAUGUGUUGCCUAAUGAACUCUUGGUUGGAGCAGAACAAGUAAAAUUAUUUUACACUUUCCAGACUGAGGAGGAACAUGUCAACCAAUAAUGGAUGCACACAACCAUCGACGAUGAAAUUCAUGCCAGCGCUAAUCAUGGUGAGAUUAGGUGACUAUUUACAUGUAUCAGAUGAAGUAUAGAUGAUUGCAGUAAGAUUGUUGCAACUUUUUUGAUCCUGGAUUACAGUUAAAAAAGAGAUUGUGUAGCAGGGUUUGAAAUUUAAAAUCUGAAGCGAGUGGGAUUCUACUUCAUAAAUAUAUAUAUAUAUAUAUAUAUAUAUAUAUAUAUAUAUCUUCCCUUCCAUAUGUAUUUGAAGUACACAUUUAUUUCAUCCAGACAUCCAAAUGUGUAUUAUCCAAUUUCUAUCUCUGUUCUUGAAUUCUGCAAUCUUUUGCGUUGGGCAUUCUUUAAUUUGAUCCCUAGAAGAAUUGUUAUCGUGAUGCGUA
Cornus florida is the source of this 5818-nucleotide RNA transcript. It is a transcript of the gene named putative disease resistance RPP13-like protein 1, with no coding region annotated. NCBI's taxonomy places the organism in Eukaryota, Viridiplantae, Streptophyta, Magnoliopsida, Cornales, Cornaceae. The transcript is spliced from 7 exons. The record is from RefSeq and is a predicted model, not a curated record.